UACAGAGGGGGCAAGCGUUAUUCGGAAUUAUUGGGCGUAAAGGGCGCGUAGGCGGCUUUUCAAGUGACGGGUGAAAUCCCUCGGCUUAACCGAGGAACUGCCUGUCAGACUGGAAGGCUUGAGACCGGGAGAGGUGAGUGGAAUUCCCAGUGUAGCGGUGAAAUGCGUAGAUAUUGGGAGGAACACCAGUGGCGAAGGCGGCUCACUGGACCGGUACUGACGCUGAGGCGCGAAAGCGUGGGGAGCGAACCGG
Molecule: ribosomal RNA, 253 nt
Filed under: uncultured bacterium
Lineage: Bacteria
Description: partial 16S ribosomal RNA
Rfam family: Bacterial small subunit ribosomal RNA
Source: RNAcentral